AUACGUAGGGGGCGAGCGUUGUCCGGAUUUACUGGGCGUAAAGGGUGAGUAGGCGGUUGCAUAUGUCAGAUGUAAAAGGCACAGGCUCAACUUGUGUUAGCAUUUGAAACUGUGCGACUUGAGUGCAGGAGAGGUAAGUGGAAUUCCUAGUGUAGCGGUGAAAUGCAUAGAUAUUAGGAGGAACACCGGCGGCGAAAGCGGCAUCCUGGCUUAUAUCUGACGCUGAGGCGCGAAAGCGUGGGUAGC
Molecule: ribosomal RNA, 246 nt
Filed under: uncultured bacterium
Lineage: Bacteria
Description: partial 16S ribosomal RNA
Rfam family: Bacterial small subunit ribosomal RNA
Source: RNAcentral